RNAcentral lists this non-coding RNA (65 nucleotides) under Gemmatimonadota bacterium. RNAcentral describes it as "Gemmatimonadetes bacterium Fluoride sequence". It matches the Rfam family "Fluoride riboswitch aptamer (crcB RNA motif)". Lineage: Bacteria; Pseudomonadati; Gemmatimonadota. The record is from RNAcentral.
CUUUGGCCAGGCGAUGGAGUUCGCCUCGAACCGCCGGUGCGCCGGCUGAUAACUCCUACCCGAAC